Molecule: unclassified non-coding RNA, 117 nt
Organism: Callithrix jacchus (white-tufted-ear marmoset)
Lineage: Eukaryota; Metazoa; Chordata; Mammalia; Primates; Cebidae
Rfam family: Metazoan signal recognition particle RNA
About the family: The signal recognition particle (SRP) is a universally conserved ribonucleoprotein. It is involved in the co-translational targeting of proteins to membranes.
Source: Ensembl
GCCGGGCAUGGUGGCUCAUGCCUGUAAUCCAAACACUUUGGGAGGCUGAGGUGGGUGGAUCACCUGAGGUCAGGAGUUCAAGACCAGCCUGACCAACAUGGUGAAACCCCAUUUCUA